GCCGAGAUAGCUCAACGGUAGAGCAAUUGUUUUGUAAACAAUAGGUCCCGAGUUCGAAUCUCGGUCUCGGCUCAA
RNAcentral lists this transfer RNA (75 nucleotides) under Candidatus Levybacteria bacterium RIFCSPHIGHO2_12_FULL_38_12. RNAcentral's name for it is "tRNA-Thr". It matches the Rfam family "tRNA". Rfam says of the family: Transfer RNA (tRNA) molecules are approximately 80 nucleotides in length. Their secondary structure includes four short double-helical elements and three loops (D, anti-codon, and T loops). RNAcentral also lists the same sequence under 1 other name. Lineage: Bacteria; Candidatus Levyibacteriota. The record is from RNAcentral.